AACCUGCCCCAUAGUCUGGGAUACCACUUGGAAACAGGUGCUAAUACCGGAUAAGAAAGCAGAUCGCAUGAUCAGCUUUUAAAAGGCGGCGUAAGCUGUCGCUAUGGGAUGGCCCCGCGGUGCAUUAGCUAGUCGGUAAGGUAAAGGCUUACCAAGGCGAUGAUGCAUAGCCGAGUUGAGAGACUGAUCGGCCACAUUGGGACUGAGACACGGCCCAAACUCCUACGGGAGGCAGCAGCA
This 240-nucleotide ribosomal RNA is filed under the name uncultured Lactobacillus sp. RNAcentral describes it as "partial 16S ribosomal RNA". It matches the Rfam family "Bacterial small subunit ribosomal RNA", at positions 123 to 355 of the family's 1533-position model. Lineage: Bacteria; Bacillati; Bacillota; Bacilli; Lactobacillales; Lactobacillaceae. The record is from RNAcentral.